AGGUCCAGCCUGCCCAGUGAUAAAAUUCAACGGCCGCGGUACCCUGACCGUGCGAAGGUAGCAUAAUCACUUGUUCUUUAAAUAGGGACUUGUAUCAACGGCACCACGAGGGUUGUACUGUCUCCCUUCUCUAAUCAGUGAAUCUGAUCUCCCCGUGAAGAAGCGGGGAUAAAACCAUAAGACGAGAAGACCCCAUGGAGCUUCAAACUAAACGGCAACUUAAUUAAUAAUUUUUCCCCCCUUAAAAUAAAGAUAUGCAUGGAAGUUUUGGGUUGGGGCGACCGCGGAGAACAAAAUACCCUCCGUAACGAAAAUAACUAAACCUUUAUCCUAGAGCCACCCCUCAAAGAAUUAGUACCCUAACGAACAAUGACCCGAUUAUCGAUCAAUGAACCAAGUUACCCUGGGGAUAACAGCGCAAUCUACUCCAAGAGUCCGUAUCGACAAGUAGGUUUACGACCUCGAUGUUGGAUCAGGAUACCCCAGUGG
RNAcentral lists this ribosomal RNA (489 nucleotides) under Theloderma asperum (hill garden bug-eyed frog). Its description in RNAcentral is "partial 16S ribosomal RNA". It matches the Rfam family "Bacterial large subunit ribosomal RNA", at positions 1850 to 2553 of the family's 2925-position model. The record is from RNAcentral. Lineage: Eukaryota; Metazoa; Chordata; Amphibia; Anura; Rhacophoridae.